GUGCCCCUAAAAGCAGGUAUCCGCUAAAGAGUGUGUUAAAACUCACCUGCCGAAUACUAGGGCCCCGAAAAUGAAUGGCGCAUAUAGUACUACCGAUCUCAGACAUCAGUUCUAUUGAACUGAGAGUAGGGGGAUGUGGACAUUUUUGUGAAGGUGCAAUGUGAGUUGGACUGGAAGAAUGUCUAUUACAGAUCCUAAUUGAAGUAGCGAUUAUCCAGGCUUGUAUCCUGGGGGCUGAUGAGGAGUAGGGUUUCUGGACAACUUAAACAGAUCCAGAGUUAGUCGAUCCUAAUCUCAAUAAUGGGAGAAAGGGAGUACAGUUGAUAUUCUGUAACUGACAACAGUUCGCGGCAACGCAUACUAUUUUUCUCCGCCAAUCUUAUACCGUUGGUAGGGAUCUCUUUCCUACAUGACAGUACUAAUACCCAGGGAAACUGGUCAUCAGGCGAACUGCGGCGUUCUGCUGGCAAAACAUAGCUUCGGUUAUGUCAAUGGCUAUUGGAUUGGUCCAUGAAGCGAAAAAUAGUUUACUGUGUCACUCGUACCGAUAACCGCAUCAGGUCUUCUAGGUAAGUAGCCUAUGGCCAUUGAGGCAUGAUAGUUCAGGGAAUUCGGCCAAUUAGAGCUGUAACUUCGGGAUAAAGCUUGGCUCUGAUGAAAAUCAGAACCGAUUGUUACGCGGAGAGCCCCACUGUUUAAUAAAAACGUAGUGUCGCGCUGUGGUAGUAUAGCCAGUGAACGCGACAUGAAUCCUGCUCAGUGCUGUGUC
Molecule: non-coding RNA, 769 nt
Filed under: Trichomonas vaginalis G3
Lineage: Eukaryota; Parabasalia; Trichomonadida; Trichomonadidae
Description: Eukaryotic large subunit ribosomal RNA
Rfam family: Eukaryotic large subunit ribosomal RNA
Source: Rfam by way of RNAcentral